This 445-nucleotide ribosomal RNA is filed under the name Escherichia coli. Its description in RNAcentral is "partial 23S ribosomal RNA". It matches the Rfam family "Bacterial large subunit ribosomal RNA", at positions 419 to 864 of the family's 2925-position model. The record is from RNAcentral. Lineage: Bacteria; Pseudomonadati; Pseudomonadota; Gammaproteobacteria; Enterobacterales; Enterobacteriaceae.
GGGACACGUGGUAUCCUGUCUGAAUAUGGGGGGACCAUCCUCCAAGGCUAAAUACUCCUGACUGACCGAUAGUGAACCAGUACCGUGAGGGAAAGGCGAAAAGAACCCCGGCGAGGGGAGUGAAAAAGAACCUGAAACCGUGUACGUACAAGCAGUGGGAGCACAGAGCAAUCUGUGUGACUGCGUACCUUUUGUAUAAUGGGUCAGCGACUUAUAUUCUGUAGCAAGGUUAACCGAAUAGGGGAGCCGAAGGGAAACCGAGUCUUAACUGGGCGUUAAGUUGCAGGGUAUAGACCCGAAACCCGGUGAUCUAGCCAUGGGCAGGUUGAAGGUUGGGUAACACUAACUGGAGGACCGAACCGACUAAUGUUGAAAAAUUAGCGGAUGACUUGUGGCUGGGGGUGAAAGGCCAAUCAAACCGGGAGAUAGCUGGUUCUCCCCGAAA